UCUUAGGUAGUAUAUUGGUUAGUAUUUGUGCCUGUCAUCAAAACUUAAACUCUAAGUUGCGCAAGUCCGGGGUUCAAUUCCCUGUCUGAGAG
Molecule: transfer RNA, 92 nt
Filed under: Sphaerobolus stellatus SS14
Lineage: Eukaryota; Fungi; Basidiomycota; Agaricomycetes; Geastrales; Sphaerobolaceae
Rfam family: tRNA
About the family: Transfer RNA (tRNA) molecules are approximately 80 nucleotides in length. Their secondary structure includes four short double-helical elements and three loops (D, anti-codon, and T loops). Further hydrogen bonds mediate the characteristic L-shaped molecular structure. tRNAs have two regions of fundamental functional importance: the anti-codon, which is responsible for specific mRNA codon recognition, and the 3' end, to which the tRNAs corresponding amino acid is attached (by aminoacyl-tRNA synthetases). tRNAs cope with the degeneracy of the genetic code in two manners: having more than one tRNA (with a specific anti-codon) for a particular amino acid; and 'wobble' base-pairing, i.e. permitting non-standard base-pairing at the 3rd anti-codon position.
Source: Rfam by way of RNAcentral